AUGCUUAUUGCCCACAUGUGUUUUUUAUUGAACAAAUUUCUUUGGUGGCGGGAGCAAUCCUACCGCCAGAGGUUAUAACUAAACCAAACUUUAUUUACAGUCAAACUUGAUUUAUUAUUACAAUAGUCAAAACUUUCAACAACGGAUCUCUUGGUUCUCGCAUCGAUGAAAAACGCACCGAAAUGCGAUACGUAAUAUGAAUUGCAGAUAUUCGUGAAUCAUCGAAUCUUUGAACGCACAUUGCGCCCUUUGGUAUUCCAAAGGGCAUGCCUGUUUGAGCGUCAUUUCUCCCUCAAACCCCCGGGUUUGGUGUUGAGCAAUACGCUAGGUUUGUUUGAAAGAAUUUAACGUGGAAACUUAUUUUAAGCGACUUAGGUUUAUCCAAAAACGCUUAUUUUGCUAGUGGCCACCACAAUUUAUUUCAUAACUUUGACCUCAAAUCAGGUAGGACUACCCGCUGAACUUAAGCAUAUCAAUAAA
This 480-nucleotide ribosomal RNA is filed under the name Candida tropicalis. Its description in RNAcentral is "eukaryotic LSU rRNA". The stretch from base 131 to 284 matches the Rfam family "5.8S ribosomal RNA". Lineage: Eukaryota; Fungi; Ascomycota; Pichiomycetes; Serinales; Debaryomycetaceae. The record is from RNAcentral.